UCCUGAACUGGCCAUGUAACUGGCAGCCCAUGCAGUUCCCAUGCAUAUAAAUGUUUUGUUUUUCUGUUACAGGCCACAAAGUAGUAGUUGUGAGAUGUGAGGGCAUCAACAUCUCUGGUAACUUCUACCGUAACAAAUUGAAGUACUUGGCUUUCCUGCGCAAGAGGAUGAACACAAACCCCUCCCGUGGACCCUACCACUUCAGAGCUCCCAGCAGGAUCUUCUGGAGGAC
Molecule: long non-coding RNA, 232 nt
Organism: Pygocentrus nattereri (red-bellied piranha)
Lineage: Eukaryota; Metazoa; Chordata; Actinopteri; Characiformes; Serrasalmidae
Exons: 2
Source: RefSeq, a predicted model, not a curated record